GACGAACGCUGGCGGCGUGCUUAACACAUGCAAGUCGAACGGAAAUGCCCUGCUUUUGUGGGGUGCUCGAGUGGCGAACAGGUGAGUAACACGUGAGUAACCUGCCCUUGACUUUGGGAUAACUUCAGGAAACUGGGGCUAAUACCGGAUAGGAGCUCCUGCUGCAUGGUGGGGGUUGGAAAGUUUCGGCGGUUGGGGAUGGACUCGCGGCUUAUCCGCUUGUUCGUGGGGUAGUGGCUUACCAAGGCUUUGACGGGUAGCCGGCCUGAGAGGGUGACCGGCCACAUUGGGACUGAGAUACGGCCCAGACUCCUACGGGAGGCAGCAGUGGGGAAUAUUGCACAAUGGGCGGAAGCCUGAUGCAGCAACGCCGCGUGCGGGAUGACGGCCUUCGGGUUGUAAACCGCUUUCGCCUGUGACGAAGCGUGAGUGACGGUAAUGGGUAAAGAAGCACCGGCUAACUACGUG
RNAcentral lists this ribosomal RNA (468 nucleotides) under uncultured bacterium. Its description in RNAcentral is "partial 16S ribosomal RNA". It matches the Rfam family "Bacterial small subunit ribosomal RNA", at positions 28 to 507 of the family's 1533-position model. The record is from RNAcentral.